GACGAACGCUGGCGGCGUGCUUAACACAUGCAAGUCGAACGGAAAGGCCCUGCUUUUGUGGGGUGCUCGAUUGGCGAACGGGUGAGUAACACGUGAGUAACCUGCCCUUGACUUUGGGAUAACUUCAGGAAACUGGGGCUAAUACCGGAUAGGAGCUCCUGCUGCAUGGUGGGGGUUGGAAAGUUUCGGCGGUUGGGGAUGGACUCGCGGCUUAUCAGCUUGUUGGUGGGGUAGUGGCUUACCAAGGCUUUGACGGGUAGCCGGCCUGAGAGGGUGACCGGGCACAUUGGGACUGGGAUACGGCCCAGACUCCUACGGGAGGCAGCAGUGGGGAAUAUUGCACAAUGGGCGGAAGCCUGAUGCAGCAACGCCGCGUGCGGGAUGACGGCCUUCGGGUUGUAAACCGCUUUCGCCUGUGACGAAGCGUGAGUGACGGUAAUGGGUAAAGAAGCACCGGCUAACUACGUG
RNAcentral lists this ribosomal RNA (468 nucleotides) under uncultured bacterium. RNAcentral's name for it is "partial 16S ribosomal RNA". It matches the Rfam family "Bacterial small subunit ribosomal RNA", at positions 28 to 507 of the family's 1533-position model. The record is from RNAcentral.